CCUACGGGGGGCAGCAGUGGGGAAUAUUGGGCAAUGGAGGAAACUCUGACCCAGCAACGCCGCGUGAAUGAUGAAGGUCUUCGGAUUGUAAAGUUCUUUUCUAAGGGAAGAAGAAAGUGACGGUACCUUAGGAAUAAGCCUCGGCUAACUACGUGCCAGCAGCCGCGGUAAUACGGAGGAUGCGAGCGUUAUCCGGAUUUAGUGGGUUUAAAGGGUGCGCAGGCGGCCUGUUAAGUCAGCGGUAAAAGCCCGGGGCUCAACCCCGGCGAGCCGUUGAAACUGGCGGGCUGGAGUUGGAGAGAAGUACGAGGAAUGCGCGGUGUAGCGGUGAAAUGCUUAGAUAUCGCGCAGAACCCCGAUUGCGAAGGCAGCGUACCGGCUCCACACUGACGCUGAGGCACGAAAGCGUGGGUAUCGAACAGGAUUAGAUACCCGGGUAGUC
Molecule: ribosomal RNA, 442 nt
Filed under: uncultured bacterium
Lineage: Bacteria
Description: partial 16S ribosomal RNA
Rfam family: Bacterial small subunit ribosomal RNA
Source: RNAcentral